RNAcentral lists this ribosomal RNA (602 nucleotides) under uncultured bacterium. Its description in RNAcentral is "bacterial SSU rRNA". It matches the Rfam family "Bacterial small subunit ribosomal RNA", at positions 10 to 649 of the family's 1533-position model. The record is from RNAcentral.
AGUUUGAUCCUGGCUCAGAAUGAAACCUGGCGGUGUGCCUAACACAUGCAAGUCAAACGACAAUUUAUUUGGAGUGGCGGACGGGUGAGUAACACGUAAGAACCUACCUUUAGGAGGGGGAUACCAUCCCGGGAAACUGGUGCUAAUACCCCAUAUGCUGAGAAGUGAAAUGGUAUUUAACCGCCUAGAGAGGGGCUUGCGGCUGAUUAGCUAGUUGGUGGGGUAAUGGCCUCCCAAGGCGACGAUCAGUAGCUGGUUUGAGAGGAUGAUCAGCCACACUGGGACUGAGACACGGCCCAGACUCCUACGGGAGGCAGCAGUGAGGAAUUUUCCGCAAUGGGCGAAAGCCUGACGGAGCAAUACCGCGUGGAGGAAAAAGAAGACCUGUGGGUUGUAAACUCCUUUUCUCAGAGAAGAAUACUGACGGUAUCUGAGGAAUAAGCACCGGCUAACUAUGUGCCAGCAGCCGCGGUAAUACAUGGGGUGCGAGGUUUAUUCGGAAUGAUUGGGCGUAAAGCGUUCGUAGGUGGUUUCACGAAGUCCACUGUCAAAGAUCAGGGCUUAACCUUGGGCAGGCAGUGGAAACUCGGAAACUCGAGUCA